This 365-nucleotide ribosomal RNA is filed under the name Silvastella fuscofasciata. RNAcentral's name for it is "partial 12S ribosomal RNA". Lineage: Eukaryota; Metazoa; Arthropoda; Insecta; Orthoptera; Phalangopsidae. The record is from RNAcentral.
UGGACUGGAGUAGUAAGAGUGGUUCUUGAAACUCAAAGAAUUUGACGGUGUUGUAGUCCUUUCAGAGGAAUCUGUCCUGUAAUUGAUAAUACACGAUUUGUUUUACCUUGUAAGUAGUUUGUAUAUCGCUGUCAUAAGAUUAUUCUAUUGAGGGUUUAAAUUUUCUUUGUUUGAAAUUAAGAAGAAUGUCAAGUCAUGGUGCAGCUUAUGAUAAGGAAGAGAUGGAUUACAAUAAUUUGAAUUAUACGGAUAUGUGGGGUAAGUUUAGAUUUAAGGUGGAUUUGAUUGUAAAUUUGUUGGAUUAAUAGGUUGAUUAUGGCUCUAUGAUGUGUACAUAUCGCCCGUCGCUCUCAUUAUAAUGUGAG